RNAcentral lists this ribosomal RNA (441 nucleotides) under uncultured bacterium. RNAcentral describes it as "partial 16S ribosomal RNA". It matches the Rfam family "Bacterial small subunit ribosomal RNA", at positions 338 to 795 of the family's 1533-position model. The record is from RNAcentral.
CCUACGGGGUGCAGCAGUGGGGAAUAUUGCACAAUGGGGGAAACCCUGAUGCAGCGACGCCGCGUGAGUGAAGAAGUAUUUCGGUAUGUAAAGCUCUAUCAGCAGGGAAGAAGAAAGACGGUACCUGACUAAUAAGCCCCGGCUAACUACGUGCCAGCAGCCGCGGUAAUACGUAGGGGGCAAGCGUUAUCCGGAUGUACUGGGUGUAAAGUGAGCGUAGACGGCGGUGCAAGUCUGAAGUGAAAGCCCAGGGCUCAACCCGGGGAAUGCGUUGGAAACUGGGGAGCUAGAGUGUUGGAGAGGUAAGUAGAAUUCCAAGUGUAGCGGUGAAAUGUGUAGAGAUGAGGAGGAACACCAGUGGCGAAGGCGGCUUACUGGACAAUAACUGACGUUGAGGCGCGAAAGCGUGGGGAGCAAACAGGAUUAGAUACCCGGGUAGUC